Molecule: long non-coding RNA, 349 nt
Organism: Oncorhynchus tshawytscha (Chinook salmon)
Lineage: Eukaryota; Metazoa; Chordata; Actinopteri; Salmoniformes; Salmonidae
Source: Ensembl
UAUACUGUGGACAGACUAGGGAGUGAGAUAUACUGUGGACAGACUGAGGGGGAGAGUUAUACUGGGGAAUGAGAUAUACUGUGGACAGACUGAGGGGGUGAGUUAUACUGGGGAGUGAGAUAUACUGUGGAUUGACUGAGGGGAGAAGUUAUACUGGGGAGUGAGAUAUACUGUGGAUUGACUGAGGGGGUAGUUAUACUGGGGAGUGAGAUAUACUGUGGACAGACUAGGGAGUGAGAUAUACUGUGGACAGACUGAGGGGAGAGUUAUACUGGGGAGUGAGAAAUACUGUGGACACACUAGGGAGUGAGAUAUACUGUGGACAGACUGAGGGGAGAGUUAUACUGGG